AUCCAGCUGACGAGUCCCAACUAGGAAGAAACACGCGUCGUGGAU
Schistosoma rodhaini is the source of this 45-nucleotide non-coding RNA. NCBI's taxonomy places the organism in Eukaryota, Metazoa, Platyhelminthes, Trematoda, Strigeidida, Schistosomatidae. The record is from Rfam.